This 446-nucleotide ribosomal RNA is filed under the name uncultured bacterium. Its description in RNAcentral is "bacterial SSU rRNA". It matches the Rfam family "Bacterial small subunit ribosomal RNA", at positions 330 to 793 of the family's 1533-position model. The record is from RNAcentral.
UCCAGACUCCUACGGGAGGCAGCAGUGGGGAAUAUUGCACAAUGGGGGAAACCCUGAUGCAGCGACGCCGCGUGAGCGAAGAAGUAUUUCGGUAUGUAAAGCUCUAUCAGCAGGGAAGAAAAUGACGGUACCUGAGUAAGAAGCUCCGGCUAAAUACGUGCCAGCAGCCGCGGUAAUACGUAUGGAGCAAGCGUUAUCCGGAUUUACUGGGGGUAAAGGGAGCGUAGGCGGCCUGCCAAGUCUGAUGUGAAAUACCGGGGCUCAACCCCGGGGCUGCAUUGGGAACUGGCAGGCUGGAGUGCCGGAGAGGCAGGCGGAAUUCCUAGUGUAGCGGUGAACUGCGUAGAUAUUAGGAGGAACACCAGUGGCGAAGGCGGCCUGCUGGACGGUGACUGACGCUGAGGCUCGAAAGCGUGGGGAGCAAACAGGAUUAGAUACCCGCGUAU